GGCCUAGUUGUGCGGUCAGCCUCACGGCUCGUACUGCUCUGACUGGGCCUUUCCUUCUGGGGAACUAUGUUUGCAUUCACUUGCAGGCAUAGGGAUCCAGGACUUUUACUUUGAGAAAAUUAGAGUGUUUAAAGCAGGCAUUUGCUUGAAUACGUUAGCAUGGAAUAAUAGAAUAGGACUUUGGUUCUAUUUUGUUGGUUUCUAGGACCGAAGUA
This 215-nucleotide ribosomal RNA is filed under the name uncultured fungus. RNAcentral describes it as "partial small subunit ribosomal RNA". The stretch from base 50 to 215 matches the Rfam family "Eukaryotic small subunit ribosomal RNA", at positions 696 to 864 of the family's 1831-position model. Lineage: Eukaryota; Fungi. The record is from RNAcentral.